Molecule: long non-coding RNA, 388 nt
Filed under: Bos mutus (wild yak)
Lineage: Eukaryota; Metazoa; Chordata; Mammalia; Artiodactyla; Bovidae
Description: lncRNA (ENSBMUG00000020878.1)
Source: RNAcentral
CCACCCAUGAGAGCAAUGACCUUGUGCAGGUGAAGGUCAUGCCCCCGGAGAAGGGCCGAGUGUAGACCUGUUUCUUUGACCAAAGUCAAGAAUGAAAGGGAGAAGAUGCUUCCUUAGUGGAAGGCAAAGGGGGACAUUUUAACAAUCAGGUGCCUUUACCUGGAUUUUCCUCUUUGUGAAGAGAUACGAAGCACAGGAGGUCCAUUUGGAGAUUUUCUAGACAACGUUCCUGCGUGUUUACAUCAGAGAUGCUCUCCUGACGCCAGCUCGGAUUAGUCGUACGCAGUUGGCUAGAGGGCUCUGUUGAUCUAUUCGCUUUGUAAGUUCUGAACCUCCUUCUCCUGCUCGGACGCUUCCACACGUGAAUUUGUUCUUAUGUAAAUAAAGC